This 491-nucleotide long non-coding RNA is filed under the name Equus caballus (horse). RNAcentral's name for it is "lncRNA (ENSECAG00000055047.1)". The record is from RNAcentral. Lineage: Eukaryota; Metazoa; Chordata; Mammalia; Perissodactyla; Equidae.
GGCCCAGGCUGCCCCCGAUGAUGCUCUCGAUGGAGAAGGGCGAGCGCGCCAGCGCCGAGGCGCCCGGCCGCCCGCCUUGGCCGCCGCGGCCUGCAGGGGCCCGGGCAGCGCGGCGCCGAGCGGCGGCGGCGGCCGCUCCUCCAGCUCGUCCUCCCCGGCGUACGAGCGCCGCCGCCGCCGCCGCUGCGCGGGGACCUCCAACCGCGCCCCGCCGCCGCCGCCGCCGCCGCCCUCGUCGUCGUCCUCCUCUUCCUCGUCGUCUUCGUCCUCGCCCUCCCCCACCACGUCGAUGUCUGUCUCCUCGGCGAGGCCCGAGGCAUCGGACAUCUCCGUGCUCAGGGUCAUGGCUGUGGCGCGGCGGCGGCGAGGCGGCUGUGCAUAGGGGCGCCGGGCUCCGGGCUCCCGCCGCGCCCCAGCCGGGGUCCCGGGCGGCGGGCCGGGCCGGGGGGCGCCACGCUGGGGGCGCGGCGGCGGCGGCGGCUCGAGCUGCG